CCUACGGGAGGCAGCAGUGGGGAAUAUUGGACAAUGGGCGAAAGCCUGAUCCAGCCAUGCCGCGUGAGUGAUGAAGGCCCUAGGGUUGUAAAGCUCUUUCACCGGUGAAGAUAAUGACGGUAACCGGAGAAGAAGCCCCGGCUAACUUCGUGCCAGCAGCCGCGGUAAUACGAAGGGGGCUAGCGUUGUUCGGAAUUACUGGGCGUAAAGCGCACGUAGGCGGACUAUUAAGUCAGGGGUGAAAUCCUGGAGCUCAACUCCAGAACUGCCUUUGAUACUGAUGGUCUCGAGUCCGGAAGAGGUGAGUGGAAUUCCGAGUGUAGAGGUGAAAUUCGUAGAUAUUCGGAGGAACACCAGUGGCGAAGGCGGCUCACUGGUCCGGUACUGACGCUGAGGUGCGAAAGCGUGGGGAGCAAACAGGAUUAGAUACCCCUGUAGUC
This 440-nucleotide ribosomal RNA is filed under the name uncultured bacterium. Its description in RNAcentral is "bacterial SSU rRNA". It matches the Rfam family "Bacterial small subunit ribosomal RNA", at positions 338 to 795 of the family's 1533-position model. The record is from RNAcentral.